UUCAAGCUGAGUUGUGGGAUUUGUGUCAUCAUUAAUCUCCAGAGUUUGGAAGCCCCUCAAACUGUGUGCAGAGACGGUAGAAUGUUGUGAACUAGGUCUUGGAAGGAGAGCUUGUUAGGGUGCCGCCUCUGGCAAUGGAAACUGCAUAUCCACCCAUGACCAAAAAGCAAAUGAUAUAUUACUGUAAUACAGCCUGGCCCCAGUAUUCCCUAGAUCAGAAGAGAUGGUCUGAACAUGGGUCACUUACUGCAACUCUCCAAUUGGACUUUUUUGCAAGAAACCUGGUAAAUGGGAAGAAAUACCCUAUAUGCAAUGUUUUAUGGCCCUCUAUCAAAACCCUGCCCUGCAAAUGAAAUGCAGAAUAUGUAAAUUGGCCAAAGGGAACUAUAUUGCCAAUUCUAGAAGCCUCUGGAGAGGAAGCAUCAGUCAUGUGGGGGCCUAUAGGGAAGGGAACAAGUAAGAAGAGUCCCUUUACUACCCCCUCCAAGAGAAGUGAGGCCCUCUAACUCUACUCGGGGACUGGAACCUUGGCCAAUACAGGGGCAUAGUCCACCUUCUUGGAAAUGGUACCCUCUGCACCUCCAGGGAAAAGCAAGGGCCCGUUCUGUAUUUGCCAGGCCCUCCAAACUCUGCAGAGCCAGCUGUGGCUCCUGCUAUGGCAAUAGCAGGCCCCUGUUGUACUCUUCUUUGCCAGGGAGCACCACUCAUAGUGGGAACGCAUAUAACCCUGGAGGGUGACUGUUACCACUCAGAGCAUGCCUGUUGGAGAAAGAGGUUUUGCUCGGGUCUAUGUGUUUUUUAAAACUGUUGACUUGUAUAACUGGAAAUCCCAUAGUAAGGGCUUAUGGGUGAGCCCAGGAGAGUUCGUAACUCUCAUAUGGAGAAUAUUCUCCACACAUAACCCUACCUGGCCAGGUGUGCAGACCGUAACAGCAACCCUGCUCACAGCAGAAGAUAAAUCUGCCACCAUGGCCAAAACUAAGGAGGAGGCAGACAAUAUGUGUGCUGAUAACCUGGUGACCUGGCCCGUUGAGGUGUCAGUCCCAAUAGCCAACCCAAACUGGGACCCCAGUGAUAACAAGAAUCAAGAGCGGCUUCAUCAUUAUAGGAAUAUGCUUCUCAGAGGUAUGAGGGAAGCAAGCCAGUCCCUGGUCAAUUGGGGAAAUCUCAGAGAAAUAGAACAAGGCCCUAAUGAAAAUCCAUCAGCAUUCCUAAAUUGAUAAUAAGAAUGCCUCCAGAAUUACACCCCUUGGGACCCAGAUGACCCAAAAGCUGAGUCUCACUUUAAUCUCACUUCAUCUCUCAGCCCCAGAUAUUCAGAGAAAACUCUAAAAAGUGGCAAUAAAUCCACAUACUCCCCCUUUCCAACUGGUAGACAUCUCCUUUAAGGUCUAUAGUAAAGAGAUGUGGCAUCUGAUGAAAAGGAAGACAAGAAGAUGCGGCAGCCCUACAGACUACUUCAGGAAGCCCAGGAAGAAGAUGGCAUGGGUGAGUGACCAGGGCCCCCACCAUGGAACUCAGGGCCUGCCUACACUGGGGCCCAAACAAUGUGCUUACUGGAAGCAGAAAGGAUGCUAGAAAAGGGAAUGUCCAAAUCAUCCCCAGAGAGGGAAGAAAGAGGACAAGCCCGAGGUACCUGUUCCCUGUAACUGGACAAGAAACUGACGGAUGGGGACAUGGGGCUCCCUGCCUGGCUCCUCAAAAUAAGAUCCACAUCUCCCCCAAGGAGCCCCAGGUUACACAGAAGAAGGGGGGCAACCAGUUGGAUUUUUUUUCGUUUGUUUGAGACAGGGUCUGUGUUACCCAGGCUGGAGUGCAGCACCAUGAUCAUGGCGCACUGCAGCCUCCAACUCCCAGGCUCAAGCAGUCCUCCCACCUUAGCCUCUCAAAUAGCUGGGACUAAGGCACACCUGGCUAAUUUUUUUGUUUGUUUGUGGAGACAAGGUCUCGUUAUGCUGUCAGGGCUGGUCUUGAACUCCUGGGCUCAAGUGAUCCUCCAACCUUGGCCUCCCAAAUUGUUGGCAUUACAGGCAUGAGCCACUGCACCCGGCCACCAGCUGAGUUUUUGAUCAACACUGUAGCCAUGUUUUCUGUGUUGAUCACUAAAAGUGGACCCUAUCCAGGAGUAAAUGUAUAUAAGGGAUGUGUCUCAUAAAGGAAAUAAAAGAUUCUUGGAGCCUCUGGUCCAUGAAAUAGUAUCUAAAACUUUGACUCAUUCUUUCUUCUGUUCCCCAAACGUCCCAUUCUCCUUUUGGGAAGGGACCUUCUGACUAAGUUUGGAGCCACAAUUUCUCUAAAUCAGGACAGAAUAGAGAUGUUCUGAGCCCACGGCACUGUCAUGCUGGCCCUAGUUCCUGGGGAAGUUCCAGACUUGGGGCCUCAUAUGACUCCUUGGCUAAUGCGGUACUAGAUAAUUGUAUAGCAUUAGACUGCCUCUUAGCAGAACAGGGAGGAGGAGAGUGUGCAGUUAUUAAUUCCUCUUGCUGUACCUGAUAAAUACCUCAGGGGAAAUAGGAAGUUAACAUUAGGAAGGUCCAUGCCGAAGCCUCUUGGUUCCACACUUUUAAUCAGCAGCCAUACUUUUUUUUUUUUUUUGAGACAGAGUCUCGCUCUGUUGCCCAGGUUGGAGUGCAGUGGGGCACGAUCUGGGCUCACUGCAACCUCUACCUCCUGGGUUCUAGCGAUUUUUCUACCUCACCUUCCUGAGUAGCUGGGACUACAGGUGCGCACCACCACACCUGCCUAAUUUUUGUAUUUUUAGUGGAGACGGGGUUUCACCAUGUUGCCCAGGCUGAUCUUGAAUUCAGGGUGAUCCGCCCGCCUCGGCCUCGCAAAGUGCUGGGAUUACAGGGGUGAGCCACCACACCAGGCCUAAUAGCCAUACUUCUAACUCUAUUUGAGAAGUUCUCAAAUUAGCAAUACCAAGUGUUACUUGGUUUCUUCCCCUAAUGAGGCCACUAAUUUUAUUGCUCUUACUACUGUUGUUUGGUCCCUGCAUCUUUAACCUCUUCGUAAAAUUUGUAUCUUCCAGAUUAGAAAAAUUUCAACUGUAGGUGCCUUUGCAACCUAUCCUGGGAGACCCUAAAACAUAUUUAGUUUUAGUGCCUAGAGAUUUUCACUCCUCUAACAUCUCUGGAUACAGUGUCCCUGGUCAACAUGAAGAAGUUACAGAAGAACACUUUCUGAUCCUGGCCCCUAAAGAAUUUACUUGUGCUAAGUAAUAAAAUUCCUAUUGAUC
Molecule: small RNA, 3238 nt
Filed under: Pan troglodytes (chimpanzee)
Lineage: Eukaryota; Metazoa; Chordata; Mammalia; Primates; Hominidae
Description: retained intron
Source: RNAcentral